Molecule: long non-coding RNA, 465 nt
Filed under: Mus caroli (Ryukyu mouse)
Lineage: Eukaryota; Metazoa; Chordata; Mammalia; Rodentia; Muridae
Description: predicted gene 13175 (MGP_CAROLIEiJ_G0003112.1)
Source: RNAcentral
GAGGCAAAGCAGCACCCAGCACCUCAAGUUCAGUACCCCAGCUCUCACUGCUCUGCUGAGACUGUGAGGUCGUUGUUAUCACUGUACAGUGGUGCAUCAUGCCUGACUCUGUCACUGUAUCUUCAUAAGGUCUGGGGCCAUUGAUGGCAUCAACGUCUUAAUUUCUCCCAUCUUGCAGAGGAAGACACUAUUCCACCUUGACGUGAUAGUGACUGAGGAGCUACAGCGUUCUGAAAGGGAAUUGUAGAAGAGGGCAUUGUCCCAGAAUCAGGGAACAGCCACUGAAACCGGAGUCUUGAAAUUGGUUCUCCAUGGCACAUGUGGAAGUCUUUGACGAGGCCAAGGUGUUUGCAUGGUCAUUGUCAUAUAUUAUGAUAGCUAGAAGUGUCCAGGAGUUAAGGGUUAUUAGAGGGUGUACGUUGCAAAGGUGUGGAGAUGAAGAAUAAAGGUGAAAUUGUUUUUGCU